CCACAUAACUACACUGUACCAAUUACAAUUAGCACAAAGCGUGUGUGUUCAUGCAAGAAGGAGUUUGCUACUCGGCUGAAGGACUUGGUGGACAAAGUGGAGGUAAAUGAAGACCAAAGACUACUAACAGUCCUGAAAAACAACAUCCAGAUUUUGAAAAAUCAAAAAUAUGACAAUAAGGUGCCGUGCCCCCAGAAGAUGUGGAUAAAAAAACCACAGAAGCUGGACAGAAGUAAAGUUUCGGAUCAUUUAGAUAGGUACAUUAAGUUCAUCAGGAACCUGAAUACUUGGUGCGUUGAUAAUCCUAUGGAUUGAUGUUGGGUAAU
Esox lucius (northern pike) is the source of this 326-nucleotide long non-coding RNA. RefSeq lists it as uncharacterized. The transcript has 3 exons. The record is from RefSeq and is a predicted model, not a curated record. Lineage: Eukaryota; Metazoa; Chordata; Actinopteri; Esociformes; Esocidae.